UGGGGAAUAUUGCACAAUGGGGGAAACCCUGAUGCAGCGACGCCGCGUGAGCGAAGAAGGCUUUCGAGUCGUAAAGCUCUGUUCUAUGAGAAGAUAAUGACGGUAUCAUAGGAGGAAGCCCUGGCUAAAUACGUGCCAGCAGCCGCGGUAAUACGUAUGGGGCGAGCGUUGUCCGGAAUUAUUGGGCGUAAAGGGUACGUAGGCGGUCUAUUAAGUCAGGUGUGAAAGCGUGAGGCUUAACCUCAUUAAGCACUUGAAACUGAUAGACUUGAGUGAAGGAGAGGAAAGUGGAAUUCCUAGUGUAGCGGUGAAAUGCGUAGAUAUUAGGAGGAAUACCGGUGGCGAAGGCGACUUUCUGGACUUUUACUGACGCUCAGGUACGAAAGCGUGGGGAGCAAACAGG
Molecule: ribosomal RNA, 403 nt
Filed under: Verrucomicrobiota bacterium
Lineage: Bacteria; Pseudomonadati; Verrucomicrobiota
Description: Verrucomicrobia bacterium partial 16S ribosomal RNA
Rfam family: Bacterial small subunit ribosomal RNA
Source: RNAcentral